RNAcentral lists this unclassified non-coding RNA (323 nucleotides) under soil metagenome. Its description in RNAcentral is "partial contains 5.8S ribosomal RNA, internal transcribed spacer 2, and large subunit ribosomal RNA". The stretch from base 1 to 120 matches the Rfam family "5.8S ribosomal RNA", at positions 35 to 154 of the family's 154-position model. The record is from RNAcentral.
GAUGAAGAACGUAGCGAAAUGCGAUAAGUAAUGCGAAUUGCAGAAUUCAGUGAGUCAUCGAAUCUCUGAACGCACAUUGCGCCCUGUGGUAUUCCGCAGGGCAUGCCUGUUCGAGCGUCAUUUCAACCCUCAAGCUCUGCUUGGUGUUGGGCCCUGCCCGCUGCGGCCGGCCCUAAAGACAGUGGCGGUGCCGCCUGGCCCUGAGCGUAGUACAUCUCUCGCUCCAGUGCCCGGUGGUAGCCUGCCAGAACCCCAACUCUCGUGGUUGACCUCGGAUCAGGUAGGGAUACCCGCUGAACUUAAGCAUAUCAAUAAGCGGAGGA